RNAcentral lists this unclassified non-coding RNA (253 nucleotides) under uncultured Gammaproteobacteria bacterium. RNAcentral's name for it is "contains 16S-23S intergenic spacer region". It matches the Rfam family "Bacterial small subunit ribosomal RNA", at positions 524 to 776 of the family's 1533-position model. The record is from RNAcentral. Lineage: Bacteria; Pseudomonadati; Pseudomonadota; Gammaproteobacteria.
UACGGAGGGUGCAAGCGUUAAUCGGAAUUACUGGGCGUAAAGCGCGCGUAGGCGGUUUUUUAAGUCAGAUGUGAAAUCCGCGGGCUUAACCUGGGAAUGGCAUUUGAGACUGGUAGGUUAGAGUGUGGUAGAGGUGAGUAAAAUUUCAGGUGUAGCGGUGAAAUGCGUAGAGAUCUGAAGGAACAUCAGUGGCGAAGGCGACUCACUGGGCCAUUACUGACGCUGAGGUGCGAAAGCGUGGGUAGCAAACAGG